AGAAAACGACUUAAUAAGAGAGGCAGUGAAGAACUCAGCAACUUCAUCACCACCAAAUUUCCUUACCAACUUCCCUUCUUUUUCCUCUCUACUCUUUUCGCCAUUCCUCACUGUAAUUCUACCCCCCGUUUCUUCACCGGACCAAUUGCUUUGUGUGUUCCUUGAAAGUUUUUUUACUCCUCGCUGAUCUUCCCGGCCGGAGAGAGGAUAUAUAUAUCUUUUGGAUCUUUCAAACGGUUUUGUUUUGACUUCGUUUUGUGCGCUUCUUCCUUUCUCCCAUGGCUAUGGACGAUACCGAAAGCUGUAGUAGUAGAGCGGUGGAUGACUUCUCAGCUCAGACUUGGAGACAGAAGCAGAAGGUUGGAGUUUACGACGAAGUUCUUCGUCGACUCAGGCUGUCGCACGAAGCGGAGACCAGCCUUCCUGGUUUUGAGGAUGAACUCUGGGCUCAUUUUCAUCGACUUCCUACUAGGUAUGCUAUGGACGUCAAUGUUGAGAGGGCUCAAGACGUUCUCAUGCACAAAAAUCUUCUCUACAUGGCACGUGAUCCUGAUACUCGACCUGCAAUUGACGUUCGUCUUGUACAGGUUCAUUCAUCUCCUGGCAGGAACUUUGGCAAGUCAGUUAAUUGGAGCUUGAAGGAAAAAGUGGACCAGGAGCGGUUUUCUGGUUAUGACAGCAAUCAGAGACACCACCCCCCACCAGCAUUUGGUUCAUCAACACGGGUCGAAUAUGGUUUUGAGACCAGCCAAUUACAUGAUAUAGACCAACGGGGGACUUUCUCCUGGCCAAUGCAUGAAAUUACAAUAUCAACAAUUGACAAGCCAAAAUUGCUCAGUCAGUUGACGUCCUUACUUUCUGAGAUUGGGCUGAAUAUUCAAGAAGCACAUGCUUUUUCAACAACAGAUGGCUUUUCUUUGGAUGUUUUUGUAGUUGAUGGUUGGAUAAUUGAGGAUACCAAGCAGCUAAAAGAUAUACUGGCAGAAGAAAUAUCAAAGAUUCAGAAAAGGCAUCCUCCAUUCACACCUUGCAUUUUCCAUACUGAGAAGCAAGACAGAUUUGGAGUCAAGUUCACCACAAAGUAUGUCAACAUUCCAAGAGACGAAGUUGAUGCAUGGGAAAUUGAUGCAAGCCUGCUAGUAUUUGAGAAGAAAAUUGCGUCUGGAUCUCUUAGUGACUUGUAUAAAGGCACCUUUUGUGGUCAAGAUGUUGCUAUUAAGCUUCUAAAAAAUGAAAACUUGAAUGAGACUGUACGGCGGGAAUUUGUUCAAGAAAUACAUAUCAUGAGAAAACUUCGGCACAAGAAUGUUGUCCAAUUUAUUGGUGCAUCUACUAGGCCUCCAAGCUUUUUCAUUGUUACAGAGUACAUGUCUGGUGGAAGCAUACACGACUUUUUACAUCAACAAAAGGGCGUUCUUAGUUUUCCUUCCUUACUAAGAGUGGCAAUUGAUGUGUCGAAGGGAAUGGACUAUUUGCAUCAAAAGAAUAUCAUCCAUAGAGAUCUAAAAGCUGCAAAUCUUUUGAUGGAUGAAUAUGGGGUCGUCAAGGUAGCUGAUUUUGGUGUUGCUAGGGUGCUAGCUCAAUCUGGUGUGAUGACUGCCGAAACUGGAACAUAUCGUUGGAUGGCUCCAGAGGUUAUUGAGCACAAACCGUACGAUCAUAAAGCUGACGUUUAUAGCUUUGGGAUAGUGUUGUGGGAGCUGCUUACAGGACAGCUGCCUUAUAAUAACUUGACUCCGUUACAAGCAGCAAUAGGCGUGGUCCAGAAGGGUCUGAGGCCUAAGAUUCCGAGGCAUGCUCAUCCGAUGAUCGUGGAUUUGCUCGAGAAAUGCUGGCUGCAGGAUCCAUCUUUGAGACCCGAAUUCUCGGAAAUUACGAGACUUCUAAAACAGACACCACCAAAGGAGGUAGGGAAAAGUUGUGUUUGAAACUGUUAAAAUUUAUUCAUUUGUUUUUCAGGCACUUGACGUUGUUGGAACAAGAUUAUAUAUAUAAUAAGAAACUUGGGAGUGACAGGAACCUUCUGGAAGAUGAUUAAAAAUUCUGGGGUGGAGAAAGGACGUUCUAUGGAGGAGACCCAAAAGGAAAUAAAUAGGCCACACUCAAAAUGGUAUUGCUUCAGCAAUAGCCAACCUGCAAUGGAAGUGUAUCUGCCGUACCUGCAAGUUUAUGCAAAAUUUUGUAAAUAUAUUUGGAGUGUAUUUAGAAGCAAUGAGAUAGAAUGUUGUAAUUUUGAUUAAAAAAAAAAAAAUUGGGCGUCUGAAAAUUAUUGAUUUAUGUAAUUUUUGUUGUUUACUGGGAAUUCGUGAGUUGAGAAAAUUAGAUUUAAGAGAUAUUUGCAUUUUGCAACUGAAUUAUAGUUGAAAUUACAAGUCUUUAUGUAUUACAUAUCACACUCAUUACCA
RNA transcript from Cucumis melo (muskmelon), 2405 nucleotides. It is a transcript of the gene named serine/threonine-protein kinase STY46-like, with no coding region annotated. The record is from RefSeq and is a predicted model, not a curated record. The transcript is spliced from 16 exons. Lineage: Eukaryota; Viridiplantae; Streptophyta; Magnoliopsida; Cucurbitales; Cucurbitaceae.